AUGGCGAGCCGAGGGGGCCGCGGCGGCGGCCGGGCGAACCCCGACGCUGCCCAGGCCGGGUAUGGCGGCCGCGGCGGCGCUGGUCGUGGGCGUGUUGAUGGUGGUGGCCGUGGCCGCGGGUACUACCAAGGGGAUGGGGGCGGUGAUGGUGGUGGCCGUGGCCGUGGUUACUACCAAGGAGACGGUGGCGGGGGUCGUGGGUACUACCAGGGUGGCGGUGAUGGCGGCGGGAGAGGGCGUGGGUACUACCAGGGAGAGGGCGAGGACCGUGGGUACUACCAGGGAGGCGGUGAUGGCGGCGGCGGAAGAGGGCGUGGGUACCAAGGCGGCGGCGAUGGCGGUGGCCGCGGCCGAGGACGCGGCUACCAAGGCGGCGGCGGCGAUGGUGGAGGCCGCGGCCGUGGCUACGAAGGUGCUGGCGAUGGCGGGCGCGGCCGAGGCCGUGGCUAUCAGCAGGGCGGCAACGACUACGGCGGCGGCCUUGGUGGCAGCAACUACGGCGGUGGCCGUGGUGGCAACAACUACGGCGGCCGCGGUGGCAGAGGAAGAGGCCAGAACCAGCCCGACCCCCUCGCUCUCCAAGUCGCGGGGCCUCCCCUCUCCGAGCGCUACCACACAGAGGCGGCCCAGCUCCGGGAGAAGUUCCAGGCGAUGGCCAUCAGCCGUGCCGAGCCGAUGUUCCCGGGCCGCCCUGGGUUCGGCUCCAAGGGGCAGGUGUGCGUGGUGAGGGCCAACCACUUCUUCGUCGGCCUCGUGGACAAGGGCCUGCACCAGUACGACGUGGCCAUGUCGCCGGAGCCGACCAUGACGGGCGUUUUCCGAGCUGUCAUGUCCACUCUUGUGAAGGAGCACCAGGACACCACUCUUGGCGGUCGCCUCCCAGCUUACGACGGCCGCAAGAGCCUGUACACCGCGGGCGAGCUGCCCUUUACAACCAAGGAGUUCGAGGUCACCUUACCUGACAAAAAUCCAGGUCCACCUGGGCAAAGGAGGGAGAGGAAGUUCAAGGUGACCAUCAAGCACGCCACCCUGGUCAGCCUGCAGCAGCUGCAGAUGCUCAUGUCCGGGAUCCCCACGGACAUACCUGCGCAGGCGCUGCAGGUGCUCGACAUUGUGUUGCGUGACAUCGUGCUCAACGAACGGGAUGACAUGGGGUUCGUCCCGGUAGGCCGGUCUUUCUUCUCGCGGACCGUCGAGGAUCCCAUCCAGUUAGGCCAGGGCAUCGAAGGAUGGAAUGGGUUCUACCAGAGCAUCAGACCCACCCAAAGUGGAUUGUCCCUCAACAUUGACAUGUCUUCGACUGCUUUUGUUGGAGGGGGGUCGCUGAUUGAUUUCAUCAAGGAGAUUCUUAACAGGAGAGAUCUCUCUCGCGGCAUUCAAAAUGAACUUGAUUAUGUGAAGAUUAAGAAGGCCCUCAGGGGUCUAAGGGUUGAGGUCACCCACCGAGGACAGAUGCGCAGGAAAUACCGCAUUGCUGGCUUGACAAAGGAUUCUGCCAGAGAAUUGAGGUUCCAAUUAUCGACCGGCGAAAGCAAGACUGUGAGGGACUACUUUCGAGAAACCUACAAGCUGCAGCUGCGUUACGAUUUUCUCCGAUGCCUGCAAGUUGGUACAGAACAGAAACCCAACUAUCUUCCAAUAGAGGUCUGCAAUAUAGUUCCAGGACAGCGGUACCAAAAGAAGCUGGAUGACAGCCAGGUUUCUAAAAUGAUGGCUAUAGCCUGCCAGAGUCCAGCUGGGCGUGAGACCUCCAUUCGCAAGUCUGUUCUGGAGAAUAAAUAUAACAGUGCCAAACGUGCAAAUGAGUUUGGUAUAGAAGUUGACAGCAACCCAACUUCUGUUCGGGCUAGAGUUCUGCCUGCUCCAAAGCUGAGGUACCAUGGUACUGAGUCUUGCUUCCCAGAAAAUGGGGCGUGGAACAUGAGAGGCAAGAAAGUCAUAAAUGGUGCCAAGGUUGGUAUUUGGGCAUGUGUAAACUUUUGCAAUGAGUUGCCUGAGGAUGAAGUUCGUAUCUUCUGCCACAAACUGAGUGAAAUGUCCUCCACAACUGGAGUGAACUUCAACGGUGCAAAACUUAAGAUAUUCCAUGCUCGUUCAGAUCAAGUUGAAGCCAAACUCCGUGAAGUACGUCAGCAAGCGGGGAAUAUGAAGAUUGACCUCUUACUUGCUAUAUUGCCAAAUAAAAAUGGCAGCCUGUAUGGUGAUAUUAAAAGGAUCUGUGAAACAGACAUUGGUCUGAUGUCGCAGUGUUGUCUACUUAAAAAUGUCGAGAAAUCAAGUCCUCAGUUUCUUGCGAAUGUUGCUCUUAAGAUCAAUGCCAAGUGUGGGGGGAGGAACUCGGUAUUUGCUGAUCUACCAGUAAGCCUACCAGUUGUUUGGAAAAAGCCAACGAUUAUCUUCGGUGCAGAUGUUACUCAUCCUAGUGCUCUAGAUGAUACUGCCCCAUCCAUUGCUUCUGUUGUUGCCUCCCAAGACUGGCCUGAGGUGACCAAGUAUCAUGGUGAUGUUCAUGCACAAGGUCACCGCGUAGAGCUCAUUGAAGGCCUUGAGGGCAUUGUAAAGAAGCUGCUACUUUCGUUUGAAAAGCAAUCCAAACAGAGGCCGCUGCAGCUGAUAUUCUAUAGGGAUGGUGUAAGUGAGGGUCAGUUCAGAAAGGUUCUGGAGGAUGAGAUCCCACUGAUAGAAAAGGCAUGGAAGGCUUUAUACAAUGAGAAGCCGCCAAUUACCUUCAUAGUGGUGCAGAAGAGGCACCAUACAAGACUGUUCCCAAGUGAUGGCAAAUAUCAGGACAACAGUGGAAAUGUUAUGCCAGGCACAGUUGUUGAUAGGCAGAUCUGCCACCCAACAGAGUUUGAUUUCUUCCUCUGUAGCCAUGCUGGUAUCAAGGGAACAAGCCGUCCUGCGCAUUACCAUGUGCUGCGAGAUGACAACAACUUCAGUGCUGAUGACCUGCAGUCUCUUACAAACAACCUGUGCUACACGUAUGCAAGCUGCACUCGCUCUGUGUCGACUGCUCCUCCUGCAUACUACGCUCAUAAACUUGCGUUCCGUGCGCGAUUCUACCUAGGCCAAGUCCCAGACAUGGCGUCGGAGAUAAGCGCCGGCAGUGCACCUCCUCCAUUGAUGCUUCCUGAGAUAAAAGAUGGGCUGAAAAGCCACAUGUUCUACUGCUAG
RNAcentral lists this ribosomal RNA (3174 nucleotides) under Triticum aestivum (bread wheat). RNAcentral's name for it is "partial small subunit ribosomal RNA". Lineage: Eukaryota; Viridiplantae; Streptophyta; Magnoliopsida; Poales; Poaceae. The record is from RNAcentral.